RNAcentral lists this ribosomal RNA (264 nucleotides) under uncultured bacterium. RNAcentral's name for it is "partial 16S ribosomal RNA". It matches the Rfam family "Bacterial small subunit ribosomal RNA", at positions 338 to 619 of the family's 1533-position model. The record is from RNAcentral.
CCUACGGGGGGCAGCAGUGGGGAAUAUUGGGCAAUGGGGGAAACCCUGACCCAGCGACGCCGCGUGAGGGAAGAAGGUUUUCGGAUUGUAAACCUCUGUCCUUGGUGACGAUAAUGACGGUACCUGACUAAGAAGCCCCGGCUAACUACGUGCCAGCAGCCGCGGUAAUACGUAGGGGGCAAGCGUUAUCCGGAUUUACUGGGUGUAAAGGGAGCGUAGGUGGCAUGGUAAGCCAGAAGUGAAAACCCGGGGCUCAACCCCGCG